AUGACAUUUUUGUGUCGUUUGGGCGGCCGAAAUGUUGGCRAAAUCCCUGUGUUGUUGCGUGGUCGAAUGCCGCGUUGCUAUCACUUGGAUUUUUGCCGGCUCUCACGGAUGCGGUGCCUAGUGCUAGCUCUGCGGGACKUUGCCCCGCAGACYUCGGGAGGUCCCCUGUACGGACCAUUGCUCUCAUACGCCGUUUGUCGUGUCGCCACCGCGACACGCAGAUCGUGUUCUUUCGUGCAGUCCGUGACAGCACGUCAGCGAACAUUAGUGUCCGGAGCGUGGUCUUGUGCCGGUGGAGUGCCUCUCCGAUCGUAUGAGCGGCGAUUUCCGGUUCGCGUCGCGCGAAGGCCCGCCCGUCCGGGUCGGUGCCGGAGCGGAUGCGCCGGCU
Molecule: unclassified non-coding RNA, 388 nt
Filed under: Carex pendula
Lineage: Eukaryota; Viridiplantae; Streptophyta; Magnoliopsida; Poales; Cyperaceae
Description: partial external transcribed spacer 1
Source: RNAcentral